Molecule: non-coding RNA, 622 nt
Organism: Pipistrellus kuhlii (Kuhl's pipistrelle)
Lineage: Eukaryota; Metazoa; Chordata; Mammalia; Chiroptera; Vespertilionidae
Source: the annotation of a RefSeq genome assembly
GUCACCGAGAACAGCUGGUACCCAAGUUUCAGAUCAGAACAAGAGACUUUCACCCUGAAGAGGAGAGCUGGCAGCAUGGUGUGCCGGGGUGUGCUGUGGGCAUUUGUGGUCUCCACUUGCCUUGGAUCCAGCCUGGCCCAGAAGGUAAUUCAGCCUCAACAAGAAACGUCUGUGCAGGAGGGAGAGCCUGUGACCCUGCCCUGCACAUAUGAGACUAGUUCGACUGAGUAUUAUUUGUUCUGGUACAAACAACCUCCCAGUGGGGAGAUGGUUUUCAUUAUCCGCCAAGAAUCUUUUAAGCAACAGAAUGCAACAGAUAAUCGCUUCUCCGUGAACUUCCAGAAAACAACCAAAAACUUCAGCCUCAGGAUCUCAGACUGCCAGCUGGAGGAUGCUGCAGUGUACUUCUGUGCUCUCAGUGAGGCACAGUGAGAUGAGUGACAGGGAGAGGCUUACAGAAACCUCUGGCCUCAGUGCCUGUGUCAAGGGGUGCUUAAUAGGAACAUAGAAAUUAUUGUCUUUUCUUGGGAAUUAAAACUCCUUAUAUCUGAAUAUCAGAAACACAGAGAGAUGGGUGCCUGCAAGCUGGAGUCCUUAAAAUUACAAUAAAAAUAAUGGCAUA